CGGAUUGUAGCUUAUUAUAAAGCUUAUUAUUUACAUUAAUAUGAAAAUUUUAUUCUUUCUGA
RNAcentral lists this transfer RNA (62 nucleotides) under Krisna nigromarginata. RNAcentral describes it as "tRNA-Val". Lineage: Eukaryota; Metazoa; Arthropoda; Insecta; Hemiptera; Cicadellidae. The record is from RNAcentral.